GUGGGGAAUCUUAGACAAUGGGGGAAACCCUGAUCUAGCCAUGCCGCGUGAGCGAUGAAGGCCUUAGGGUUGUAAAGCUCUUUCAGCUGGGAAGAUAAUGACGGUACCAGCAGAAGAAGCCCCGGCUAACUCCGUGCCAGCAGCCGCGGUAAUACGGAGGGGGCUAGCGUUGUUCGGAAUUACUGGGCGUAAAGCGCGCGUAGGCGGACCAGAAAGUUGGAGGUGAAAUCCCAGGGCUCAACCUUGGAACUGCCUUCAAAACUCCUGGUCUGGAGUUCGAGAGAGGUGGGUGGAAUUCCGAGUGUAGAGGUGAAAUUCGUAGAUAUUCGGAGGAACACCAGUGGCGAAGGCGGCUCACUGGCUCGAUACUGACGCUGAGGUGCGAAAGCGUGGGGAGCAAACAGGAUUAGAAACCCCAGUAGUCC
Molecule: ribosomal RNA, 425 nt
Filed under: uncultured bacterium
Lineage: Bacteria
Description: partial 16S ribosomal RNA
Rfam family: Bacterial small subunit ribosomal RNA
Source: RNAcentral